UGCCGGUGAUGCAUAAACAAAUGCACGUAUUAUCGGAUUGUUCCAUGACAAUCUCCCAACUAUUGUCACUACCACUAAGGCA
RNAcentral lists this small nucleolar RNA (82 nucleotides) under Leersia perrieri. Its description in RNAcentral is "Small nucleolar RNA snoR122". It matches the Rfam family "Small nucleolar RNA snoR122". The record is from Rfam by way of RNAcentral. Lineage: Eukaryota; Viridiplantae; Streptophyta; Magnoliopsida; Poales; Poaceae.